This 329-nucleotide unclassified non-coding RNA is filed under the name soil metagenome. RNAcentral's name for it is "partial contains 5.8S ribosomal RNA, internal transcribed spacer 2, and large subunit ribosomal RNA". The stretch from base 1 to 120 matches the Rfam family "5.8S ribosomal RNA", at positions 35 to 154 of the family's 154-position model. The record is from RNAcentral.
GAUGAAGAACGCAGCGAAAUGCGAUAAGUAAUGUGAAUUGCAGAAUUCAGUGAAUCAUCGAAUCUUUGAACGCACAUUGCGCCCUCUGGUAUUCCGGGGGGCAUGCCUGUUCGAGCGUCAUUAUAACCACUCAAGCUCUCGCUUGGUAUUGGAGUUCGCGAUCUCGCGGCUCCUAAAAUCAGUGGCGGUGCCUGUCGGCUCUACGCGUAGUAAUACUCCUCGCGAUUGAGUCCGGUAGGUUUACUUGCCAGCAACCCCCAAUUUUUACAAGUUGACCUCGGAUCAGGUAGGGAUACCCGCUGAACUUAAGCAUAUCAAUAAGCGGAGGA